UGCCAGACUCCUACGGGAGGCAGCAGUGGGGAAUAUUGCACAAUGGGGGAAACCCUGAUGCAGCGACGCCGCGUGAGCGAUGAAGUAUUUCGGUAUGUAAAGCUCUAUCAGCAGGGAAGAAGAUGACGGUACCUGACUAAGAAGCCCCGGCUAACUACGUGCCAGCAGCCGCGGUAAUACGUAGGGGGCAAGCGUUAUCCGGAUUUACUGGGUGUAAAGGGAGCGUAGACGGCGAUGCAAGCCAGAUGUGAAAGCCCGGGGCUCAACCCCGGGACUGCAUUUGGAACUGGGUGGCUGGAGUGUCGGAGAGGGAGGCGGAAUUCCUAGUGUAGCGGUGAAAUGCGUAGAUAUUAGGAGGGACACCAGUGGCGAAGGCGGCCUGCUGGACGAUGACUGACGUUGAGGCCCGAAAGCGUGGGGAGCAAACAGGAUUAGAUACCCCCGUAACC
RNAcentral lists this ribosomal RNA (449 nucleotides) under uncultured bacterium. RNAcentral's name for it is "bacterial SSU rRNA". It matches the Rfam family "Bacterial small subunit ribosomal RNA", at positions 329 to 795 of the family's 1533-position model. The record is from RNAcentral.